UAGGGAAUCUUCCACAAUGGACGCAAGUCUGAUGGAGCAACGCCGCGUGAGUGAAGAAGGUUUUCGGACCGUAAAGCUCUGUUGUUGGUGAAGAAGGAUAGAGGUAGUAACUGGCCUUUAUUUGACGGUAAUCAACCAGAAAGUCACGGCUAACUACGUGCCAGCAGCCGCGGUAAUACGUAGGUGGCAAGCGUUGUCCGGAUUUAUUGGGCGUAAAGCGAGCGCAGGCGGAAGAAUAAGUCUGAUGUGAAAGCCCUCGGCUUAACCGAGGAAUUGCAUCGGAAACUGUUUUUCUUGGGUGCAGAAGAGGAGAGUAGAACUCCAUGUGUAGCGGUGGAAUGCGUAGAUAUAUGGAAGAAUACCAGUGGCGAAGGCGGCUCUCUGGUCUGCAACUGACGCUGAGGCUCGAAAGCAUGGUAGCGAACAGGAUUAGAUACCCUGGUAGUCCAUGCCGUAAACGAUGAGUGCUAAGUGUUGGGAGGCUUCCGCCUCUCAGUGCUGCAGCUAACGCAUUAAGCACUCCGCCUGGGGGAGUACGACCGCAAGGUUGAAAC
RNAcentral lists this ribosomal RNA (554 nucleotides) under uncultured bacterium. RNAcentral describes it as "partial 16S ribosomal RNA". It matches the Rfam family "Bacterial small subunit ribosomal RNA", at positions 355 to 900 of the family's 1533-position model. The record is from RNAcentral.